Molecule: long non-coding RNA, 590 nt
Organism: Xenia sp. Carnegie-2017
Lineage: Eukaryota; Metazoa; Cnidaria; Anthozoa; Malacalcyonacea; Xeniidae
Exons: 2
Source: RefSeq, a predicted model, not a curated record
GACAUCUACACAGCAUGUUUGGAGACAACCGCAGAGUAAGAACAAAUAAACCAUUUUUAUAAGCAUCAGCAAGAUAAUUGAAGUAAUAAUUGCAUAUUGUAAAUUAUUAAUAGCCUGUUAACAUGUAUAAAUGAAAUGGCUUCUUGAGUUAGCAUAAAAGCGGAACAUUGAUCUCAAAAGUGCAUAUUAUCGUGGGGUUCAUCAAGAUGGAAAUCAUCACCAAAUAUCUUCUAUUUUGUUUUCUUUUACUUUAUGCGAGCAGUUUUACAUUCAGUAACAGAGUAAGAUGCAGCCCACAUCUCUGUUCAAAGAAGAGGAACGUUAGGGUAAAUGAAUUCAGGAAAUUGAUCAAAAGUAACGAUAAUGAUCAUACAGGACGUAAGAUGACGGAAAAAGUCUAUGACACCAACGCAGAUGAUCGACAAGGAUAUCUACGUGAAUAUAUGGACACACGACGUCAUUCGAACAUAGAAAAUUAUGAUUAUGAUUAUGAUUAUGAAAACAUAAGAUUGUAAUUAUGUUUUGCGUCCAAGCACAUUAUAUGACAAAACAGUAAUAAAUUAAAAAGUAGCUCUGGCGACAAAAAACUA